AGGGUGCGUAGGCGGGUUUGUAAGUCAGUGGUGAAAUCCCCGAGCUUAACUUGGGAACUGCCAUUGAUACUGCAAGUCUUGAAUUUUCUGGAGGUAAGCGGAAUAUGUCAUGUAGCGGUGAAAUGCUUAGAUAUGACAUAGAACACCCAUUGCGAAGGCAGCUUACUACGGGAAUAUUGACGCUGAGGCACGAAAGCGUGGGGAUCAAACAGGAUUAGAUACCCUGGUAGUCCACGCCCUAAACGAUGAUUACUCGACAUUAGCGAUAUUACAGUUAGUGUCUAAGCGAAAGCAUUAAGUAAUCCACCUGGGAAGUACGACCGCAAGGUUGAAACUCAAAGGAAUUGGCGGGGGUCCGCACAAGUGGUGGAGCAUGUGGUUUAAUUCGAUGAUACGCGAGGAACCUUACCUGGGCUAGAAUGCUGGGAGAUCGAUGGUGAAAGCCAUCUUUGUAGCAAUACACUGCCAGUAAGGUGCUGCAUGGCUGUCGUCAGCUCGUGCCGUGAGGUGUUGGGUUAAGUCCCGUAACGAGCGCAACCCCUAUCUUUAGUUGCCAUCAGGUAAUGCUGGGAACUCUAAAGAAACUGCCGUCGUAAGACGUGAGGAAGGAGGGGAUGAUGUCAAGUCAUCAUGGCCUUUAUGCCCAGGGCUACACACGUGCUACAAUGGGAAGGACAAAGGGCUGCCACUUAGCGAUAAGGAGCUAAUCCCAAAAACCUUCUCUCAGUUCAGAUUGGAGUCUGCAACUCGACUCCAUGAAGCUGGAAUCACUAGUA
RNAcentral lists this ribosomal RNA (776 nucleotides) under uncultured Bacteroidota bacterium. Its description in RNAcentral is "bacterial SSU rRNA". It matches the Rfam family "Bacterial small subunit ribosomal RNA", at positions 564 to 1340 of the family's 1533-position model. The record is from RNAcentral. Lineage: Bacteria; Pseudomonadati; Bacteroidota.